Long non-coding RNA from Salvelinus fontinalis (brook trout), 185 nucleotides. RefSeq lists it as uncharacterized. The transcript has 3 exons. Lineage: Eukaryota; Metazoa; Chordata; Actinopteri; Salmoniformes; Salmonidae. The record is from RefSeq and is a predicted model, not a curated record.
GUUACUAGAAGGUGUUUAAUGUUGGAGCGUAACCAGUCCCUGCAGUAAAGGCCGUUACUAGAAGGUGUUUAAUGUUGGAGCGUAACCAGUCCGUGCAGUAAAGGCCGUUACUAGAAGGUGUUUAAUGUUGGAGCGUAACCAGUCCGUGCAGUAAAGGCCGUUACUAGAAGGUGUUUAAUGUUGGA